Molecule: ribosomal RNA, 403 nt
Filed under: uncultured bacterium
Lineage: Bacteria
Description: bacterial SSU rRNA
Rfam family: Bacterial small subunit ribosomal RNA
Source: RNAcentral
AAGGCUUGACAUGCACCGGACGACUCCAGAGAUGGGGUUUUCUUCGGACUGGUGCACAGGUGGUGCAUGGUUGUCGUCAGCUCGUGUCGUGAGAUGUUGGGUUAAGUCCCGCAACGAGCGCAACCCUUGUUCUAUGUUGCCAGCACGUGAUGGUGGGGACUCAUAGGAGACUGCCGGGGUCAACUCGGAGGAAGGUGGGGACGACGUCAAAUCAUCAUGCCCCUUAUGUCUUGGGCUUCAAGCAUGCUACAAUGGUCGGUACAAUGGGUUGCGAAGCUGUGAGGUGGAGCGAAUCCCAAAAAGCCGGCCUCAGUUCGGAUUGGGGUCUGCAACUCGACCCCAUGAAGUCGGAGUCGCUAGUAAUCGCAGAUCAGCAACGCUGCGGUGAAUACGUUCCCGGGCC